CAUCACCUAUCUUCUUCUUCCACUCCAUCAUAUUCAUAAAAUUACUAAAUCACACUCCACCAUCUUCAAACGAUAGCCACACCAUAAAGAAAAAACAGAAAAAGUAAGAAACGAGAUUUAACCGUGGCGUCACUACCCAUCAUCCAAAACGCAACUCUUCGACGACCAUAUUUUUCUCGCUAGAAAAAACACUAUUACACACCUC
RNAcentral lists this long non-coding RNA (205 nucleotides) under Lathyrus oleraceus (garden pea). RNAcentral describes it as "Pisum sativum (pea) long non-coding RNA (PSAT_LNC002821)". The record is from RNAcentral. Lineage: Eukaryota; Viridiplantae; Streptophyta; Magnoliopsida; Fabales; Fabaceae.